This 222-nucleotide ribosomal RNA is filed under the name Salmonella enterica subsp. enterica serovar 13,23:b:-. RNAcentral describes it as "partial 16S ribosomal RNA". It matches the Rfam family "Bacterial small subunit ribosomal RNA", at positions 1 to 217 of the family's 1533-position model. Lineage: Bacteria; Pseudomonadati; Pseudomonadota; Gammaproteobacteria; Enterobacterales; Enterobacteriaceae. The record is from RNAcentral.
UUAAAUUGAAGAGUUUGAUCAUGGCUCAGAUUGAACGCUGGCGGCAGGCCUAACACAUGCAAGUCGAACGGUAACAGGAAGCAGCUUGCUGCUUCGCUGACGAGUGGCGGACGGGUGAGUAAUGUCUGGGAAACUGCCUGAUGGAGGGGGAUAACUACUGGAAACGGUGGCUAAUACCGCAUAAUGUCGCAAGACCAAAGAGGGGGACCUUCGGGCCUCUUG